RNAcentral lists this ribosomal RNA (423 nucleotides) under Gerris latiabdominis. RNAcentral's name for it is "partial 16S ribosomal RNA". The record is from RNAcentral. Lineage: Eukaryota; Metazoa; Arthropoda; Insecta; Hemiptera; Gerridae.
GAUAUGAACUCUCCGAAAAAAUUACGCUGUUAUCCCUAAGGUAAGUUAAUCUUAUAAUCAAAAAUUCUGGAUCAAAAAAACAUAAAUUAAUGAAUAAAAUAUUAAAAGUUAAAUAAAUUUUAAUGUCACCCCAACAAAACUUUAUAUUCUAAAAAAUUGUUUAAUCAACAAAAAAUAAUAAUUAAUAAAUAAAGUAAACUUCUAUAGGGUCUUCUCGUCCUAUAAAAAAAUUUUAGCUUUUUAACUAAAAAAUUAAAUUCAAAAUAAUUAAAAAAAGAAAGUUUAUUUUUCAUCAAACCAUUCAUGCUAGCCUUCAAUUAAAAGACAAAUGAUUAUGCUACCUUCGUACAGUUAAAAUACCGCAGCCUUUUAAUUCAUAAAAAUCAAUGGGCAGGUCUGAUCUUAAAUUAAAAUCAAAAGACC